AUGGCGUCCAACGGCCGCAUCAUUUGUAACAGAGUUUAUGUUGCAGAAAUUUGCAACAAAGAUGAUGCUGCAGUUUUUUUUUUCAUCUUCAUUCACUUUUUCAUCUUCGACGGCUUGGUUGAUGCCCCAAGUCUAGAAGCCCAAGCACGCAAUGAAGCACUUGCACUGGCCCAAAAUCUCAACUUGUCACAUAUGGUGAUAGCUUCGGACUGCAUGCAAGUUAUUUCAGACAUCAAUGGAGCUACACUAUCUUCUUUUGCUUUAGUUUUGAAUGAAAUAGGUGAUAGAAAGGAAGACUUUGUAAAAGUUACUUUCCUUUUUGAGAAUAGGGAGGCAAACCGUGAAGCACAUGUCUUAGCUAAGGCAACUUCAUCCCUCCAUUCAAUUCCAACUAAUUUUUAUUUGCGGGGGACGCAUAUUCUAACUAGAAGACCAAAAUAUAACAAGACGGAGCAAUCUCCGGUUUCCAUGCAAACGCACUCCCCAGUCUGA
RNAcentral lists this ribosomal RNA (492 nucleotides) under Triticum aestivum (bread wheat). RNAcentral describes it as "partial small subunit ribosomal RNA". Lineage: Eukaryota; Viridiplantae; Streptophyta; Magnoliopsida; Poales; Poaceae. The record is from RNAcentral.